RNAcentral lists this ribosomal RNA (1042 nucleotides) under Streptomyces sp. LK1224.4. Its description in RNAcentral is "partial 16S ribosomal RNA". It matches the Rfam family "Bacterial small subunit ribosomal RNA". The record is from RNAcentral. Lineage: Bacteria; Bacillati; Actinomycetota; Actinomycetes; Kitasatosporales; Streptomycetaceae.
GCAUCNAACGCUGUGNGNCACUGCUCUAACACAUGCAAGUCGAACGAUGAAGCCCUUCGGGGUGGAUUAGUGGCGAACGGGUGAGUAACACGUGGGCAAUCUGCCCUUCACUCUGGGACAAGCCCUGGAAACGGGGUCUAAUACCGGAUAAUACUCCUGCCUGCAUGGGCGGGGGUUGAAAGCUCCGGCGGUGAAGGAUGAGCCCGCGGCCUAUCAGCUUGUUGGUGGGGUAAUGGCCCACCAAGGCGACGACGGGUAGCCGGCCUGAGAGGGCGACCGGCCACACUGGGACUGAGACACGGCCCAGACUCCUACGGGAGGCAGCAGUGGGGAAUAUUGCACAAUGGGCGAAAGCCUGAUGCAGCGACGCCGCGUGAGGGAUGACGGCCUUCGGGUUGUAAACCUCUUUCAGCAGGGAAGAAGCGAAAGUGACGGUACCUGCAGAAGAAGCGCCGGCUAACUACGUGCCAGCAGCCGCGGUAAUACGUAGGGCGCAAGCGUUGUCCGGAAUUAUUGGGCGUAAAGAGCUCGUAGGCGGCUUGUCACGUCGGAUGUGAAAGCCCGAGGCUUAACCUCGGGUCUGCAUUCGAUACGGGCUAGCUAGAGUGUGGUAGGGGAGAUCGGAAUUCCUGGUGUAGCGGUGAAAUGCGCAGAUAUCAGGAGGAACACCGGUGGCGAAGGCGGAUCUCUGGGCCAUUACUGACGCUGAGGAGCGAAAGCGUGGGGAGCGAACAGGAUUAGAUACCCUGGUAGUCCACGCCGUAAACGUUGGGAACUAGGUGUUGGCGACAUUCCACGUCGUCGGUGCCGCANCUACGCAUNAANUUCCCCCCUGGGGANUCNGNCGCAGGCUAAACUCAANGAUUGACGGGGCCCCCCAACCGCGGAACUGUGGCUUAUUGACNCACGNAAAACUACAGGUUGCUUNCCGNANCUAAAAAAUGCCCUNGGUCGNUNAGNGGCUGGUNCCACUNNUCGGANUNGGUAUCCACNNCACCUNNUNUCCAUCCUNGGGGGGNNAGAACCGGUNUNGAGGGNANAA